This 429-nucleotide ribosomal RNA is filed under the name uncultured bacterium. RNAcentral's name for it is "bacterial SSU rRNA". It matches the Rfam family "Bacterial small subunit ribosomal RNA", at positions 29 to 506 of the family's 1533-position model. The record is from RNAcentral.
ACGAACGCUGGCGGCAGGCCUAACACAUGCAAGUCGAGCGCCCAGCAAUGGGAGCGGCAGACGGGUGAGUAACACGUGGGAACCUUCCCUAUAGUACGGAAUAGCCCAGGGAAACUUGGAGUAAUACCGUAUACGCCCGAGAGGGGAAAGAUUUAUCGCUAUAGGAUGGGCCCGCGUAGGAUUAGCUAGUUGGUGAGGUAAUGGCUCACCAAGGCGACGAUCCUUAGCUGGUUUGAGAGAACGACCAGCCACACUGGGACUGAGACACGGCCCAGACUCCUACGGGAGGCAGCAGUGGGGAAUAUUGGACAAUGGGCGCAAGCCUGAUCCAGCCAUGCCGCGUGAGUGAUGAAGGCCUUAGGGUUGUAAAGCUCUUUUGCCGGGGACGAUAAUGACGGUACCCGGAGAAUAAGUCCCGGCUAACUUCGU